Molecule: small nucleolar RNA, 70 nt
Organism: Fukomys damarensis (Damara mole-rat)
Lineage: Eukaryota; Metazoa; Chordata; Mammalia; Rodentia; Bathyergidae
Gene: SNORD27
Rfam family: Small nucleolar RNA SNORD27
About the family: U27 is a member of the C/D class of snoRNA which contain the C (UGAUGA) and D (CUGA) box motifs. U27 is encoded within the U22 snoRNA host gene (UHG) in mammals and is thought to act as a 2'-O-ribose methylation guide for ribosomal RNA. This family also contains several related snoRNAs from yeast and plants.
Source: Ensembl
ACUCCGUGAUGAACAUAAACGACAAGCAUAUGGCUGAGUCUUGAGUGAUGUCAUCUUAAUACUGAGAAGU